RNAcentral lists this ribosomal RNA (378 nucleotides) under uncultured bacterium. RNAcentral describes it as "bacterial SSU rRNA". It matches the Rfam family "Bacterial small subunit ribosomal RNA", at positions 30 to 408 of the family's 1533-position model. The record is from RNAcentral.
AUUGAACGCUGGCGGCAUGCUUUACACAUGCAAGUCGAACGGUAACAGGGAGCUUGCUCCGCUGACGAGUGGCGAACGGGUGAGUAAUGCAUCGGAACAUGCCCAGUCAUGGGGGAUAACUACGCGAAAGCGUAGCUAAUACCGCAUACGCCCUGAGGGGGAAAGUGGGGGAUCUUAGGACCUCACGUGAUUGGAGUGGCCGAUGUCAGAUUAGCUAGUUGGUGAGGUAAAGGCUCACCAAGGCGACGAUCUGUAGCGGGUCUGAGAGGAUGAUCCGCCACACUGGGACUGAGACACGGCCCAGACUCCUACGGGAGGCAGCAGUGGGGAAUUUUGGACAAUGGGCGCAAGCCUGAUCCAGCCAUGCCGCGUGAGUGA